Pelobates cultripes (western spadefoot toad) is the source of this 634-nucleotide non-coding RNA. The record is from the annotation of a GenBank genome assembly. Lineage: Eukaryota; Metazoa; Chordata; Amphibia; Anura; Pelobatidae.
CACAGACACAGCCGCUUCAUUCUCUUAAUACUAGGCCUCUGUUAUGCCUUUUAAUUCAGCCACUGGGUUCACUUAUUCCUAGGCCUCUGUUAUGCCUCUUUAUAUAGCAGCUGUAUUUUCUUAUUGCUAGGCGUCUGUUAUGCCUUUUAAUGCCUUUUAUUACUAGGCUUCUGUGUGUUUUAAUUUUGCCACUGGAUCCACUUAUUCCUAGGCCUCUGUUAAGCCUCCUAAUAUAGCAGCUGGAUUUCCUUAUUCCUAGGCCUCUGUUAUGCCUUUUAAUGCCGUUUUAUGAUUUUUAUUACUUUUUUAUCAGGGAUUUGCUUUGCUAAGGAUAAAUCGGAAUCUUAUGCAGUUAUGGAUUCAGAUCCCUAUGCUCCCUGAAAAAAGGUCACACUCUAAGGGAUAUAGGUAAGACAUUCUAAUUUUUUCUGUGGUUCCAAACAAAAGAGUGCCUAUUAAUGAUUGGAAUUCCCUACGAUGAAAGCUCUAUGGGAAGAAAAUCAUCCGGAUCAUACAAGGAAAGUCGCACUAAAGGAUCCUUUGUGAGGCAUAUGACAAGAGAGCCUUGUAAAAGUAAAGUAUCUGCACAGACUGUCUGAAAGUGACUAUAGGCCCAUCUACCCCUGUGCCUUAU